This 682-nucleotide ribosomal RNA is filed under the name Pseudomonas azotoformans. RNAcentral's name for it is "bacterial SSU rRNA". It matches the Rfam family "Bacterial small subunit ribosomal RNA", at positions 100 to 780 of the family's 1533-position model. The record is from RNAcentral. Lineage: Bacteria; Pseudomonadati; Pseudomonadota; Gammaproteobacteria; Pseudomonadales; Pseudomonadaceae.
GACGGAUGAGUGAUGCCUAGGAAUCUGCCUGGCCUGGGGGGAGACGUUCUGAAACGGACGCUGAUACCAUAUACGUCCUACGGGAGAAAGGAGGGGACCUUCUGGCCUUGCGCUUUCAGAUGAGCCUUAGUCGUAUUAGCUAGUUGGUGGGGUAAUGGCUCACCAGUGCGACCAUCCGUAACUGGUCUGAGAGGAUGAUCAUUCACACUGGAACUGACACACUGUCCAUACUCCUACGGGAGGACUCCUUGGGGAAUAUUGGACAAUGGGCGAAAGCCUGAUCCAGCCAUGCCGCGUGUGUGAAGAAGGUCUUCUGAUUGUAGCUUUCUUUUCGUUGGGAGGAAGGGUUGUAGAUUAAUACUCUGCAAUUUUGACGUUACCGACAGAAUAAGCACCGGCUAACUCUGUGCCAGCACUACCGGUAAUACAGAGGGUGCAAGCGUUAAUCGGAAUUACUGGGCGUAAUUAUUGCGUAUGUGGUUUGUUAAGUUGGAUGUGAAAUCCCCAGGCUCAACCUGGCAACUGCAUUCUGAACUGACUGACUAAACUAUGGAACAUGGUGGUGGAAUUUCCUGUGUAACUUCCAAAUGCAUAGAUGUAAUGAGGAACGCUGUUGACGAACGCGACUGCCUGGACUAAUUCUGUCGCCUGUAACUGAAAGCGAGGCGAGCAAACGUGAUUA